This 346-nucleotide ribosomal RNA is filed under the name Sclerotinia sclerotiorum. Its description in RNAcentral is "SSU rRNA". It matches the Rfam family "Eukaryotic small subunit ribosomal RNA", at positions 20 to 370 of the family's 1831-position model. Lineage: Eukaryota; Fungi; Ascomycota; Leotiomycetes; Helotiales; Sclerotiniaceae. The record is from RNAcentral.
GUAGUCAUAUGCUUGUCUCAAAGAUUAAGCCAUGCAUGUCUAAGUAUAAGCAACUAUACUGUGAAACUGCGAAUGGCUCAUUAAAUCAGUUAUCGUUUAUUUGAUAGUACCUUACUACAUGGAUAACCGUGGUAAUUCUAGAGCUAAUACAUGCUAAAAACCCCGACUUCGGAAGGGGUGUGUUUAUUAGAUAAAAAACCAAUGCCCUUCGGGGCUCCCUGGUGAUUCAUAAUAACCUAACGAAUCGCAUGGCCUUGUGCCGGCGAUGGUUCAUUCAAAUUUCUGCCCUAUCAACUUUCGGUGGUAGGAUAGUGGCCUACCAUGGUUUCAACGGGUAACGGGGAAU